GAUGAAGAACGUAGCGAAAUGCGAUAAGCAAUGUGAAUUGCAGAAUUCAGUGAAUCAUCGAAUCUUUGAACGCACCUUGCGCUCCUUGGUAUUCCGAGGAGCAUGCCUGUUUGAGUGUCAUUAAAUUCUCAACCUCACCAGUUUUGUAACGAGACAGGUGAAGGCUUGGAUGUGGGGGUUUUGCAGGCUGCCUCAGUGCUGGUCUGCUCUCCUGAAAUGCAUUAGCGAGCUCAUAUUGAGCUUCCGUCUAUUGGUGUGAUAAUUAUCUACGCCGUGGAUUGGACUCAUGCUUGCUUCUAACCGUCCGCAAGGACAAUUUACUUGACCAAUUUGACCUCAAAUCAGGUAGGACUACCCGCUGAACUUAAGCAUAUCAAUAAGCGGAGGA
RNAcentral lists this unclassified non-coding RNA (388 nucleotides) under soil metagenome. Its description in RNAcentral is "partial contains 5.8S ribosomal RNA, internal transcribed spacer 2, and large subunit ribosomal RNA". The stretch from base 1 to 120 matches the Rfam family "5.8S ribosomal RNA", at positions 35 to 154 of the family's 154-position model. The record is from RNAcentral.